CGAACCGAGCGAACGUUGUUCGGAUUUACUGGGCGUAAAGGGCGCGUAGGCGGUCAGCACAAGUCAGUUGUGAAAUCUCCGGGCUUAACUCGGAAAGGUCAACUGAUACUGUGCGACUAGAGUGCGGAAGGGGCAACUGGAAUUCUCGGUGUAGCGGUGAAAUGCGUAGAUAUCGAGAGGAACACCUGCGGCGAAGGCGGGUUGCUGGGCCGACACUGACGCUGAUGCGCGAAAGCCAGGGGAGCGAACGGGAUUAGAUACCCCGGUAGUCCUGGCCUUAAACGAUGGAUGCUUGGUGUCUGGAGUUUUAUAGUCUCCGGGUGCCGUAGCUAACGCGUUAAGCAUCCCGCCGUGGGGAGUACGGUCGCAAGACUG
This 375-nucleotide ribosomal RNA is filed under the name uncultured organism. RNAcentral describes it as "bacterial SSU rRNA". It matches the Rfam family "Bacterial small subunit ribosomal RNA", at positions 526 to 896 of the family's 1533-position model. The record is from RNAcentral.